GGUAUUUGUAUCAUUCAAGUGGCGCAUGUAAUACCACAUGAUGGCUAAAUCUAGUUAUUCAUUGCCUCACUGCGGAACCAUUUCUUUUUCCAUACGAUGUGACGCAUGCAAGUGUGUGAUAAUUAUAUAGUCGCUAAUAAUCAUUUAUUUUUUGUUUUUUCUAUCUCCUAACAGAUAAAGUAUAUCAUUGUUCUCCUUGUUGUUUAAUUUUUAAUUUUAUUCAACAUUCAUUUAAUUUCUUGUUUUGUUUUUAUUGCUUUAAUGUAAGCUGUUUUUUCAAUUUAAAAAUUCAAUUAUAUUUUCUCAUGUAUUUUGUUUUUCAUUUUAGAGAUCAUUCUUUUUUUUUUUCAAUUUAAUCGUUCAGUUACAAGAAAUCGAAAAAUCGCGUGGGAAAAGAAUUGUGUUGGCACAGCGGAUCCAAACUCUCUGCACUGUGGACAUGCUUGAUUUGCCUUUGCGCCUAUUCGUCUCCCAGGCUCAGAGGUGAUUUGGUCUUGGCUGCGACAUGGUUUCGGGCUCUCGGAUGGGGUUGCCAUUGCCUUCUUUUGGCUUUCGUUUGAUCUCCCAGCUCUCGCAGUGCCUGGGUCCAGCUGGCUUGCGGGAGGCGUUGGCGGCUCUUGCUCUUGCUUUUCAUUUGGGAGCUGGGUGAGCUGCGUUUUCUUUGCCCUUGGUUUCUUUUUGCUUGCAGAGGCUCCAGUUGCAGGCUUGGGAAUCCAGGAGGCCAAUUUUUUUUAUCUGUCUGUCUUUGUUUCGGCUAUAGCUGGGUUUAAUUUUGGUUGGUUGUGAGUCUAUGCUCAGACUCGCGGGGGUGUUGGCGGUUUUUUUAGUCUGCGGAGGCUCCAUUUGCAGGCUUGGAAUUCCAGAGGAGGUUUUUUUUUUUUUUGCUCCGUCUGCCUUUCUUCUGGCUGUGGCUGGGUUUGGUUUUGAUUGGUUGUGAGUCUUGGCUCAGAAAAAGAUGGCGCGCGACGAUGACUUUGCAUUUAAUGUACACUAGGCUGGGUACUUGGUCCUUAGGGGUGUUGCUGCUUAUUGGAUCGGAUUGGACGUUUUCUAGAUGUGUAGACAUUUAGUUAGGGGAUUUUAGUUCAUCUAGCCUCUCUUUGGGUCUCUAAUGAUGUUGAAUUGUAAAAGGAAUAUUUGGGAUUGUUGGGGCUGUUUGGCUACUCUGUUGAUAAGCUACUUUUUCAGGUACUUUUGUUCUUCAUUUCCCUCUAAAAUUAACCUUGGAUUUAAUGAUUAACAUGAUUCUGUUGUUAGGCCUUGAGUUGUCUGUUGUCUUUAGACUGUUUGACAGGUGCUUUUGUUUGUGGAUUGCUUGCUGCAUUAGGAGUGCUGGAUUGAUGAACAAAUUUUUACAGGGUCCUUUUGCUUUAAAAAAAACAGGCUCUAGGCUUCUCAGGGUUGUUUCGUUGCUGUUCUUAUCAUGGGGUUAUGCAUGCCUGUCGUGGCCCUGUGGUGAGAGCAGGCGCCAGUUUUGAGCAGGUUCUUUGUUGAAAAAAAAAUGGCCCUUUGUUGCCUCCAUGUUUGUUUGUGAUCUCAACAAAGCCAUACUGUACUGCAAUUACUCAAUAUAACUGAUUCCUUCUUUCAUUUGCUGAUUGACUCGGACUGGCCUCCUCUUUUAUUGAUUUUAUAUUGUUCACACAUUUCUUCUUGCCCUCAAAUAUACUUGCAUUUUGAUAUGCUGCUUCUGACUAAUUCAUGAGCCUUACUGACUGCUCUCUGGACGCCUCAUUUCCCCCUUCUCACCCUCACUACAAUGUUAGUUUGCAAUCAACACAUUCCAAUAUACAAUGUGCUGAACCCAAUGAUGUUCAGCUUCCAAGGCCAAUAGCUUUUGCAGUGUAUCACUUGACAGAUCACUUCACAAUUUCUGAGCUUCACAACUGCUUGGAAAAAAUAGAUUUAGCUUGCAGUAUCUAGCAAUUCACUUACAACACUCUUACUUUUCAAAUGACUUCCUGCAUCCGCCACAUGCUCAAUUUAACAGUGUCGACUUACUCUUUCUUUCCUCUUAAUAAUUUACGUUGUUGGGAUUGGGAUGGACCACUAGAAACUCUACAAGGUGCAUGUAGCCAUUUUCUGUUUGCACGCUCUUUUGUUUAUUACUGACCAUCUCAUCUAUUUUGUUGUUUUGACCCUUCAUGUAUAUCGUCAAUCAUAUGAUACCUACCAGAUUGUCUUCUUCUUUUACCAUGUGCUGAACACAAUUUUCAAUAACCUCUUGCAUCAGCCUCGACAAUUUAAGCCACCACUGCCCUUUUUUUAAAGGGGUGUUUUACCCGUUCUCAAGCUCUUCUUCACUCAAACUGUUCGUAAAUAUAUUACCACUUUCAUUCAUGUACAUAAAUGGCUCUAUUUUUGUUGCAGAAGCAGUGAAAGUCCAAGAAAACAACGUCCUACACAAUAUGAUCAUUUUGCUAAAUGCCAUGUUAGCUGCUGUAGAUUUUUGCCUGCUAUUAGACUACAACUGUUGAAGAAAACUCCAUGCAACCUUUUUGCUGCACCAUGAUCGUGGUUGAUUUGAUUAGUCUCCAUGCAACUUUUUGUCUUGGUUAAUUCUCAAAUUAAACAAUGUUUAUAAUUUUGUAGUAAGGUGCUCUGGUUACAUGGACUAGCUACUUUAUAUGAAAAGGAUUUAAAUAUAUAUUUAGUUUGUUUUUAUGCUUUA
Molecule: long non-coding RNA, 2671 nt
Organism: Populus nigra (black poplar)
Lineage: Eukaryota; Viridiplantae; Streptophyta; Magnoliopsida; Malpighiales; Salicaceae
Exons: 2
Source: RefSeq, a predicted model, not a curated record